RNAcentral lists this ribosomal RNA (455 nucleotides) under Theileria ovis. RNAcentral describes it as "SSU rRNA". It matches the Rfam family "Eukaryotic small subunit ribosomal RNA", at positions 500 to 988 of the family's 1831-position model. The record is from RNAcentral. Lineage: Eukaryota; Apicomplexa; Aconoidasida; Piroplasmida; Theileriidae.
GUCUUGUAAUUGGAAUGAUGGGAAUUUAAACCUCUUCCAGAGUAUCAAUUGGAGGGCAAGUCUGGUGCCAGCAGCCGCGGUAAUUCCAGCUCCAAUAGCGUAUAUUAAAAUUGUUGCAGUUAAAAAGCUCGUAGUUGAAUUUCUGCUGCAUUGCUUUUGCUCCUUUACGAGUCUUUGCAUUGUGGCUUAUUUCGGACUUUGUUUUACAAUGUCCGGAUGUUUACUUUGAGAAAAUUAGAGUGCUCAAAGCAGGCUUUCGCCUUGAAUAGUUUAGCAUGGAAUAAUAAAGUAGGACUUUGGUUCUAUUUUGUUGGUUUUAGGUACCAAAGUAAUGGUUAAUAGGAACAGUUGGGGGCAUUCGUAUUUAACUGUCAGAGGUGAAAUUCUUAGAUUUGUUAAAGACGAACUACUGCGAAAGCAUUUGCCAAGGAUGUUUUCAUUAAUCAAGAACGAAA